GGUGGCGAUGCCUGGCGGAUGGGAACAAACCUGGGACCGAGGAGAAAGGCAGGCCCAGGGCACCCUUGCGGCGGACCCAGGCACUGAGGGCCUGCGGCUGCCGGCCAGGGCCGCGGUGCGGCGGAUGCGGCAGGGACCUGCGUGCAGGCUCCCCGAGCCCCGCGCCGGUCGCGAGCGAUCCUUCGAAGCCUCGUAACUCCAUCAGAUCCGAUCUAAGCAGCCACAAUGAAUGCUUAGUGCAGUCUCAAUGGAGCAUAGUUCUGCCUUGCACCAAUGUCAGAUGCCACCUGAACAGUGACAGAGGCACCUGGAGAAAGAAGACAGGACAUUCCUCUCUCAGCAGUGAGCCCGUCUGGACAGCUGACAGCUGCUGGAGCCGGGAGUGUCCAACCUGCAGCCCCUGGGCCACAUGUGGCUCAGGAUGACUAUGAUGCCGCCCAACACAAAACUAUAAACUUACUUAACACAUUACAAGAUUCUUUUGUGAUUACAUGUCACAGUAUAUGUAAUGUGUGGCCCAGGACAACUCUUCUUCCAGUGUGGCGCAGAGACAUGCAGAGACGCAGGGGUUAGGCACCCCUGCAAGGCUUUUAGACAUGACAAUGAUAUGAUGUGAUUUAUAUUUUUAAAAGAUCACUAUGAGUUAUAUUUUUAUUUAUAUACACUUUAUUUUAUUUCAUUUAUUUUUUAUAUUUUAAUAAUUUUGUAAACUUUUAAAUUAGAGUUGACAGUCAAUGUUAGUUCCAAGUGUAUACCUAGUGAUAAGACAUUUAUAAACUUACAAAGUGAUCUUCCCAAUAAGUCUAGUAUGGGAUCUCUUUUAAAAGUGUAUUAAUCCCAUUCAUGAGGUCUGCACCCUCAUGAUCUAAUCACUCCCAAAGACCCCCCCUUUUAUCUGGUUCAAUUGAAUGGCCUGGGUGACACUGCUGGAUGAAACUACGCAGGCGCUGGUGAGCAGUUCCGCACUGCUCCGUGAGCAGCAGUUCUCUACCCCAGGUCCCUCCCAUCUCCAUCCACUCACCGGCACCCUCUUCCACCCCACCCCAUUCUCCUCUAGAGGGCACUCUGUAAUUUGACAGUAGAAGUGAGACUGGAGAUGUGUCUGAGACACAAAAAGCUUGAGCAGGCAGGCUUUUGACCAGUGAUUUUCAGCCAGUGCACAGCGACACACUGGUGUGCUGGGAGGACGUGUAGAGCUGCAAUAUCUGACUAUUUAGAUGGGGGCGCUGGUCUCUUUCCAAUGCUUUUAUCAUGCAUUUCUCCUUUUUUCCUCUCUUUUCUCUCUUUCCUUAAACAUUUCUAAUGAAUUGACUAUUACAUUUCCUAAGUUCUGAAAUGGCCAACAUUUCUUUAGGCUCCUGCUUAAAACUAUGUUGUUACUUUUUAAAUUUGACAAUCUAAGGGAAAAGGAUCAGUGCCUCUGACUAAAUAGUCAGGUAUUUCAUGUUUUAAAAAUUUGUGUGGCACACCGGAUGAAAAAUCACUCACUUAGAUGAAGAGGGUGAGGUGUGCUUCAGGUAUGGAGAGUGGGCUCGAAGCCAGAAGACAGGAGAGAUGGAAACAGCAGACCAGAGCAGCUGCCUCUCAGAGGCCUGUGAGUGAGGGGACAGGGCAGGGGAACAGGAGACCCUCUCUGAAGAAGGGAGGGCAGGGGGACAGGGGACCCUGGGAAGAGGCAGGGAAGGGGAAACAGGACCCUCCAUGGGCAGAGCAGGGAACCCUCCAUGGAGGUUGCAGUAUCCCCUGCCCCACAUCCCCUGGCCUUCCUCCUUUCUCUCAUCCAUAACAGGUCCCUGUCAUCCCUGCCCCAACCAUGGAGUCCCUAUCCCCCUGCCAUCCCCACUCCAUGGAGGGUCCUCUGUCCCCCCUUGCCCACAUCUCUCCAUGGAGGGUACCCUAGACACUCUGGCCUGCUCUCUCCAAGGAUGGCCCCCUAUGCCCCCUUCCUCUGUUCCCUUUAUGGAAGGCCCCCUAUGCCCCCUUCCUCUGUUCCCUUUAUGG
Long non-coding RNA from Phyllostomus hastatus (greater spear-nosed bat), 2001 nucleotides. RefSeq lists it as uncharacterized. NCBI's taxonomy places the organism in Eukaryota, Metazoa, Chordata, Mammalia, Chiroptera, Phyllostomidae. The transcript is spliced from 3 exons. The record is from RefSeq and is a predicted model, not a curated record.